Non-coding RNA from Camelina sativa (false flax), 236 nucleotides. NCBI's taxonomy places the organism in Eukaryota, Viridiplantae, Streptophyta, Magnoliopsida, Brassicales, Brassicaceae. The record is from RefSeq and is a predicted model, not a curated record.
UGUCUCUCUCUCUCUCUCUCUCUCGCCACCGAUCAUCACGAGAGCCACCACCGCCCUCGAAAUCAACGUCAUCCGCCGCUUCUUUUGAUCUCUCUCUUUCUCAAAAGAUGCAUGCGUUGCUUGAUUGCGGAAUUCUGAGAAGUUCCAAUUCAAUCGAUUGAAAAGAAAAAGCUGAUUUUGGGAUCUAUCACCAGCUAUGGAUCGGAAACGUUGAGAUUGAUUUUAACCCAUUUGCA